This 345-nucleotide unclassified non-coding RNA is filed under the name Hevea brasiliensis (rubber tree). Lineage: Eukaryota; Viridiplantae; Streptophyta; Magnoliopsida; Malpighiales; Euphorbiaceae. The record is from RNAcentral.
GACAUUCCUCAUCUAUACCUUAACAGAAUAUUCCUGUGAAAGACUGCAUGAUCUGCAUGAAGAGCUUAUUGCCCCAGUUACCCAUGUGUGUCACUGUGGCAGAUAUUUUCCCUAAUUCCUAUUGAGCAGAGUCAAUUUCAACUAUGGUAAUAUUUGGUUGUAUAGAGUUGAUUGUAUUAUCAUUAUGAGCUAAUCAUCCUGCAACUUAUCAGCUGUUUAAAGAAUAUUUGUCGAUGCUCAAGGACCUAGCGCAAACAGCUGUUGUUGCAAAGGCACGCUAUCCAACUCAUUGCAGGAAACAUGGUUGUCUUUGGGAAUGAGUUCUUUACAAUAAUGGGAAAGAAC